This 253-nucleotide ribosomal RNA is filed under the name uncultured bacterium. Its description in RNAcentral is "partial 16S ribosomal RNA". It matches the Rfam family "Bacterial small subunit ribosomal RNA", at positions 524 to 776 of the family's 1533-position model. The record is from RNAcentral.
UACAGAGGGUGCGAGCGUUGAUCGGAAUUACUGGGCGUAAAGCGUGCGUAGACGGUUAUUUAAGUCGGAUGUGAAAGCCCCGGGCUCAACCUGGGAAUUGCAUUCGAGACUGAAUAGCUAGGGUACGGUAGAGGGAAGCGGAAUUUCCGGUGUAGCGGUGAAAUGCGUAGAUAUCGGAAGGAACAUCAGUGGCGAAAGCGGCUUCCUGGACCAGUACCGACGUUCAGGCACGAAAGCGUGGGGAGCAAACAGG